UUGGUUAAGUUAGAAAGGGCGCACGGUGGAUGCCUUGGCACUAGGAGCCGAAGAAGGACGGGACUAACACCGAUAUGCUUUGGGGAGCUGUACGUAAGCGUUGAUCCAGAGAUUUCCGAAUGGGGGAACCCACUAUCUUUAGUCGGAUAGUAUCCUUACGUGAAUACAUAGCGUGAGGAAGGCAGACCCAGGGAACUGAAACAUCUAAGUACCUGGAGGAAGAGAAAGAAAAAUCGAUUUCCUGAGUAGCGGCGAGCGAAACGGAAAGAGCCCAAACCAAGAAGCUUGCUUCUUGGGGUUGUAGGACACUCUAUACGGAGUUACAAAAGAAAGUUAUAAAUGAAGCGGUCUGGAAAGGCCCGCCAAAGACGGUAACAGCCCGGUAGUUGAAAUGGCUUUCCCUCCAGAGUGGAUCCUGAGUACGGCGGAACACGUGAAAUUCCGUCGGAAUCCGGGAGGACCAUCUCCCAAGGCUAAAUACUCCCUAGUGACCGAUAGUGAACCAGUACCGUGAGGGAAAGGUGAAAAGCACCCCGGAAGGGGAGUGAAACAGUUCCUGAAACCGUGUGCCUACAAGUAGUUAGAGCCCGUUAAUGGGUGAUAGCGUGCCUUUUGUAGAAUGAACCGGCGAGUUACGAUUUGUUGCAAGGUUAAGCGGAAAAAGCGGAGCCGUAGCGAAAGCGAGUCUGAAUAGGGCGCAUAAGUAACAGGUCGUAGACCCGAAACCAGGUGAUCUACCCAUGUCCAGGAUGAAGGUAAGGUAAUACUUACUGGAGGUCCGAACCCACGCACGUUGAAAAGUGCGGGGAUGAGGUGUGGGUAGCGGAGAAAUUCCAAUCGAACUUGGAGAUAGCUGGUUCUCUCCGAAAUAGCUUUAGGGCUAGCCUCGAGGUAAAGAGUCAUGGAGGUAGAGCACUGUUUGGACUAGGGGCCCUUCUCGGGUUACCGAAUUCAGAUAAACUCCGAAUGCCAUGUACUUAUACUCGGGAGUCAGACUGCGAGUGAUAAGAUCCGUAGUCGAAAGGGAAACAGCCCAGACCACCAGUUAAGGUCCCCAAAUAUAUGUUAAGUGGAAAAGGAUGUGGGGUUGCUUAGACAACCAGGAUGUUGGCUUAGAAGCAGCCACCAUUGAAAGAGUGCGUAAUAGCUCACUGGUCGAGUGACCCCGCGCCGAAAAUGUACCGGGGCUAAACAUAUUACCGAAACUGUGGAUGAACCUCUU
RNAcentral lists this ribosomal RNA (1222 nucleotides) under Listeria monocytogenes. RNAcentral's name for it is "bacterial LSU rRNA". It matches the Rfam family "Bacterial large subunit ribosomal RNA", at positions 1 to 1216 of the family's 2925-position model. Lineage: Bacteria; Bacillati; Bacillota; Bacilli; Caryophanales; Listeriaceae. RNAcentral also lists the same sequence under 1 other name. The record is from RNAcentral.